Non-coding RNA from Vicugna pacos (alpaca), 204 nucleotides. The record is from RefSeq and is a predicted model, not a curated record. NCBI's taxonomy places the organism in Eukaryota, Metazoa, Chordata, Mammalia, Artiodactyla, Camelidae.
CACCUCACACCAGUCAGAAUGGCCAUCAUUCAAAAGUCCACAGACAAGAAAAAAAGGAAUGCUCCUACACUCUUGGUAGGAAUAUGGUUUGGUACAGCCAUUAUGAAAAACAGUACAGGGAUUCCUUAAAAAACUAAAAAUAGACUUACUAUGUGAUCCAGCAACCCCACUCCUGGGCAUAUAUCUGGAGAAAACUACAAUUCA